GAAGGACGAGGGGAAGGAGGAGGAUGAUGAAGAAGAAGAGUUGGUGGCCUCCGGGGACAGCAUGUCCUGGCCGAGGUCAUGGCAGGUGACAGGCACAGAAGACACCAAGAAGAGCAGCAGCAAGCAGCAACAAGGCAGCUGACCUGAAGUAGAAGGACCUGAACAUAGACCUGAAGAGAGACAAUGUUUUACUCAUGUUAGAAUAGUACCUGAUUAUACCUUUAUGUGACUGUCAGACUGUCAUUUCUUACUGGCACUUCAGGUAAAUCUUCAGUCAAAUGAAGUAGGAAUCAGAACCAUGAAACAGAGGUGAAGGGACAAGCAGUGAUCUUUCAUCCCCAGUUUAUUACUAAUGUGAUGAGAUGUUUCGGUUCUAAUCCUUCUGCCUGAAGAAGAUUUAAAUUCAUAUCUAGAUCCAUUAAAGUGCAUGAGCCAUAUUAGUCAAAAUAAUGGCAUUUUCUUCCUUCUUGAUUAUAAUGUUACUAUUCCACUUUGCAUGGACUGUUGUCCAGGAAAAACAAACAAACAAACAAACAACAACAAUUCUAACACUGUAACUCGGGGUUAAAACAUUGUUUUUAAAAUAAAGAUCUGGGUUUCAAUUGCU
Anas platyrhynchos (mallard) is the source of this 607-nucleotide long non-coding RNA. RefSeq lists it as uncharacterized. NCBI's taxonomy places the organism in Eukaryota, Metazoa, Chordata, Aves, Anseriformes, Anatidae. The record is from RefSeq and is a predicted model, not a curated record.